RNAcentral lists this ribosomal RNA (520 nucleotides) under uncultured bacterium. RNAcentral describes it as "bacterial SSU rRNA". It matches the Rfam family "Archaeal small subunit ribosomal RNA", at positions 345 to 866 of the family's 1478-position model. The record is from RNAcentral.
AACCUCCGCAAUGUGAGAAAUCGCGACGGGGGGAUCCCAAGUGCCAUUCUUAACGGGAUGGCUUUUCUUAAGUGUAAAAAGCUUUUGGAAUAAGAGCUGGGCAAGACCGGUGCCAGCCGCCGCGGUAACACCGGCAGCUCUAGUGGUAACUGUUUUUAUUGGGCCUAAAGCGUUCGUAGCCGGUUUGAUAAGUCACUGGUGAAAUCCUGUAGCUUAACUGUGGGAAUUGCUGGUGAUACUGUUGAACUUGAGGUCGGGAGAGGUUAGCGGUACUCCCAGGGUAGAGGUGAAAUUCUGUAAUCCUGGGAGGACCACCUGUGGCGAAGGCGGCUAACUGGAACGAACCUGACGGUGAGGGACGAAAGCUAGGGGCGCGAACCGGAUUAGAUACCCGGGUAGUCCUAGCCGUAAACGAUGCGGACUUGGUGUUGGGAUGGCUUUGAGCCGCUCCGGUGCCGAAGGGAAGCUGUAAGUCCGCCGCCUGGGAAGUACGGUCGCAAGACUGAAACUUAAAGGAAUG